This 434-nucleotide ribosomal RNA is filed under the name uncultured Lachnospiraceae bacterium. Its description in RNAcentral is "partial 16S ribosomal RNA". It matches the Rfam family "Bacterial small subunit ribosomal RNA", at positions 341 to 792 of the family's 1533-position model. Lineage: Bacteria; Bacillati; Bacillota; Clostridia; Lachnospirales; Lachnospiraceae. The record is from RNAcentral.
ACGGAAGGCAGCAGUGGGGAAUAUUGGACAAUGGGGGAGACCCUGAUCCAGCGACGCCGCGUGAGUGAAGAAGUAUUUCGGUAUGUAAAGCUCUAUCAGCAAGGAAGAAAAUGACGGUACUUGACUAAGAAGCUCCGGCUAAAUACGUGCCAGCAGCUGCGGUAAUACGUAUGGAGCAAGCGUUAUCCGGAUUUACUGGGUGUAAAGGGAGCGUAGACGGCAAAGCAAGUCUGAAGUGAAAACCCAGGGCUCAACCCUGGGACUGCAUUGGAAACUGUCAAACUAGAGUGCAGGAGAGGUAAGUGGAAUUCCUAGUGUAGCGGUGAAAUGCGUAGAUAUUAGGAGGAACACCAGUGGCGAAGGCGGCUUACUGGGCUGUAACUGACGUUGAGGCUCGAAAGCGUGGGGAGCAAACAGGAUUAGAUACCCUGGUA